RNAcentral lists this unclassified non-coding RNA (346 nucleotides) under soil metagenome. RNAcentral's name for it is "partial contains 5.8S ribosomal RNA, internal transcribed spacer 2, and large subunit ribosomal RNA". The stretch from base 1 to 120 matches the Rfam family "5.8S ribosomal RNA", at positions 35 to 154 of the family's 154-position model. The record is from RNAcentral.
GAUGAAGAACGCAGCGAAAUGCGAUACGUAAUGUGAAUUGCAGAAUUCAGUGAAUCAUCGAGUCUUUGAACGCACAUUGCGCCCCCUGGUAUUCCGGGGGGCAUGCCUGUCCGAGCGUCAUUGCUGCCCUCAAGCACGGCUUGUGUGUUGGGCCUCCGUCCUCCUCCCGGGGGACGGGCCCGAAAGGCAGCGGCGGCACCGCGUCCGGUCCUCGAGCGUAUGGGGCUUCGUCACCCGCUCUUGUAGGCCCGGCCGGCGCUUGCCGACACAUCAAUCUUUUUUCCAGGUUGACCUCGGAUCAGGUAGGGAUACCCGCUGAACUUAAGCAUAUUCAAUAAGCGGAGGA